This 797-nucleotide ribosomal RNA is filed under the name Callogorgia americana americana. Its description in RNAcentral is "eukaryotic LSU rRNA". It matches the Rfam family "Eukaryotic large subunit ribosomal RNA", at positions 402 to 999 of the family's 3401-position model. Lineage: Eukaryota; Metazoa; Cnidaria; Anthozoa; Scleralcyonacea; Primnoidae. The record is from RNAcentral.
AAACCGCUGGAAGGGAAGCGAAUAGAGUUUGCAAUUCGCCUUGCCGGAUUCAGCCGCUCCAGCCUCGCGGCGCGCUCGGCUUCGAUCUUUCUAGACGAGCCUUGCACGCUCGCGUUGCUUUUGGCGGUGCACUUCCCGUUGGCGAAAGUCAACGUCGGUUUGCGCGGAGUCAAAAAGCUGCAAGCACGGUAGGUCUCUCACGAUCGGUAGGGCUUGCGAGCAAAUGGCUUCACGUAGACCGAGUUCUGUCGCAGCACGUACCUCCCCCUCCCGGGGCGGGCUGCUGUCCUUAUCGUUGAGUCGGUUUAAUGUCGCUGGACGGACGGCUUUGCCUGUGCGUCCCGGUGCGGCCGUUCAAACGAUGGGGCCAACAGACACGACGUGCUGAGGACGUUGACCGCCCGGCGGCUCUAUCCGACCCGUCUUGAAACACGGACCAAGGAGUCUAACAUGUGCGCAAGUCUCAGAGCGAUCGAAACUCGUUGGGCUUAAUGAAAGUGAAUGCAGUCACGGCUGCAGAGAUGAGAGGCUGCGACUCAGUUGUUGUAGCGGCAUCAUCGACCGACCUAUUCUACUCUUAGAAAGGUUUGAGUUAGAGCGCACCUGUUGGGACCCGAAAGAUGGUGAACUAUGCCUGAAUAGGGCGAAGCCAGCGGAAACACUGGUGGAAGCCCGUAGCGAUUCUGACGUGCAAAUCGAUCGUCGAAUUUGGGUAUAGCGGCGAAAGACUAAUCGAACCAUCUAGUAGCUGGUUCCCUCCGAAGUUUCUCACAGGAUAGCUGGAACUCGGUGGCAGU